CGUCCUCACAGCGCAUGUGUCUGCCGCCCUGCCUGUGCCAGGAGGCAGGAUGGUGACCCUAUUUUCGAAGCAACUCAGAGCGCUUGCGCCGACCCCGCCUCCCGCAGCCUUUGUGCGGAAAGGAGGACGUCGCGCCUGCGCAGCGGGUGGUGGGCGUCGCGUCCCCUCAGGAAUCAUGGAAUUGGCCGAGCAUUAUAGAAAGAGGAGACAGCUGAACCACGACUAUUUUGAGUCUGGUGGAAAACAUUCCAGAAAAGAAGAAGAGUAUGUAAUUUGAGCAAAUAAGUUGUACCCUCAGAAGGCACAUUUCUGUCGUGCUGUCAUGCCCAGUAAAAUGGCUGGUUUGUUUUGUGUCUCAAGAGAGACCAGGUUGUUUUUUCACUUAGGUCUCUGAGUCUGAGUCAAAAUAGUCCUGCUUCCUAAGCAUUUUUCAGGAGAGCAGAUUUACACACCUGUGGCCCCCUGGAUCUGAAAGUGCCACUGGGUUCGUGAUGCCUCUGGGUGCACGGUUCUCUGCCUUCAUCUUUUGGAGAUUGGAAUAGCUGCUGGGAGUGGUGGAGAAUGGAAAGAAAGCCCUGCUGAUCCUGAGAGGGGCGACCCGGUAUAUGGACCCGGUAUAUGGCAAAGUCCUUCACACGGCCCGGCUGCCAACCACUACACUCCUCUGUUCUGCGAGACUGACUCUUUUUCAUCCUUAGCUCACGACUUAAAAGUCACUUGCUCAGAAAGGCCUCGUGUGAACACCCCAUCUAACACAGCACCCCUGGCAUUUUGGAACGGAUGGAUCAGUUUGACCCCAGCUGCUAAUUAGUCUUAACAUCACAAAAAGAAAGACAAUCAGACAUUACAUGCGUCUGAAAGUCAUGUGAUAGGAUUAUCACAGACACACCUAUGAAGUAUUUUUGUCAAAAAAUUGAACCUGAGUCUGAUCAAGCCAUUAGAUCCAAUGGAGGUAAAAAAAAAAAAAAAAAAUCAGAAGGUAGAGGAAGAUGUUAAGUGAAAACUGAGGUUGCAGUUAGCAAAACUCAGUCUGGGGAAUUCUACCAGAAUUCAUGACCUUGUUUCCUCAAAAAAAAAAAAAAAAAGAAGGCAACAAAGACUUUUAAUGUGCAGUGUUUAUUGGAUUUGAUUUGGGUCCAGUUUACACAAUCAUAAAAACUCAUCUAUGAUAAUUAGAUACUUUCAGUAUUAACUGGAUAUUUGAUGAUAUUAGCAAAUUGAGGGCAAUGAUAUGUUGCUUACGUUUUAUUAAAAGUACACCUUGAAGAUACAUCUAAAGCAUUUAUGAGUGAGACUAUGAUAUUUGUGGCAGGAGGUUGAGUUGGGGGUCAGUAGAAAAGUACCAGUGAGUAUAAAUUUCACACUCUGCAUAUUUUAAUCUUUGUAUACAUUAUGCCUGCUAACAUAAUCAGUGCUCAAUAAAUAUUUAUAAAAUUAA
Camelus dromedarius (Arabian camel) is the source of this 1438-nucleotide long non-coding RNA. RefSeq lists it as uncharacterized. The transcript has 2 exons. The record is from RefSeq and is a predicted model, not a curated record. NCBI's taxonomy places the organism in Eukaryota, Metazoa, Chordata, Mammalia, Artiodactyla, Camelidae.